GAUGAACGCUAGCGGCAGGCUUAACACAUGCAAGUCGAGGGGUAUAGGAAGCUUGCUUCCUAGAGACCGGCGCACGGGUGCGUAACGCGUAUGCAAUCUACCUUUUGCAGAGGGAUAGCCCAGAGAAAUUUGGAUUAAUACCUCAUAGUAUGUGAGAAUGGCAUCAUUUUCACAUUAAAGUCACAACGGCAAAAGAUGAGCAUGCGUCCCAUUAGCUUGUUGGUAAGGUAACGGCUUACCAAGGCAACGAUGGGUAGGGGGCCUGAGAGGGAGAUCCCCCACACUGGUACUGAGACACGGACCAGACGCCUACGGGAGGCAGCAGUGAGGAAUAUUGGACAAUGGGCGAAAGCCUGAUCCAGCCAUGCCGCGUGCAGGAUGACGGUCCUAUGGAUUGUAAACUGCUUUUGUACAGGAAGAAACACUGGUUCGUGAACCAGCUUGACGGUACUGUAAGAAUAAGGAUCGGCUAACUCCGUGCCAGCCGCCGCCGUACAC
RNAcentral lists this ribosomal RNA (498 nucleotides) under uncultured bacterium. RNAcentral describes it as "bacterial SSU rRNA". It matches the Rfam family "Bacterial small subunit ribosomal RNA", at positions 28 to 526 of the family's 1533-position model. The record is from RNAcentral.